UGGGGUAUAGCCAAGCGGCACGGCAGGGGACUUUGAAUCCUCUAUUCCCUGGUUCGAUUCCAGGUACCCCAA
RNAcentral lists this transfer RNA (72 nucleotides) under Methanobrevibacter sp. Its description in RNAcentral is "tRNA-Gln". It matches the Rfam family "tRNA". Rfam says of the family: Transfer RNA (tRNA) molecules are approximately 80 nucleotides in length. Their secondary structure includes four short double-helical elements and three loops (D, anti-codon, and T loops). Lineage: Archaea; Methanobacteriati; Methanobacteriota; Methanobacteria; Methanobacteriales; Methanobacteriaceae. The record is from RNAcentral.